GUGUGGGGAACAGCUUAUGGCCACAUCCUGAUGGGCAGAGGACAUGCUACACCUGCUGUCCCCUGGGAAAGUUUAAGACUAUGCCCAUUGGAAAGCCUUCAUGGGGUCCUCCAUAAGUCCUGGGGAGAUGAAUGCCAAGACAUUAGGGCUACAAACAUGAGCUUAUAUGAGGUAAAAGAUGCCCUGAUUUCUUCCUGGGGAAAAAGAGAACAGUAGGUGCUUCUCUACCUGGGGAUUAGAACAAACUCAUCAUCAGCUGAGUUAGUUCAAUGGCUGAGAUGAGAAGCACAGCACCAAUUUGGACUUCCUCACCC
Molecule: long non-coding RNA, 314 nt
Filed under: Jaculus jaculus (lesser Egyptian jerboa)
Lineage: Eukaryota; Metazoa; Chordata; Mammalia; Rodentia; Dipodidae
Description: Nuclear RNase P (ENSJJAG00000006844.1)
Rfam family: Nuclear RNase P
About the family: Ribonuclease P (RNase P) is a ubiquitous endoribonuclease, found in archaea, bacteria and eukarya as well as chloroplasts and mitochondria. Its best characterised activity is the generation of mature 5'-ends of tRNAs by cleaving the 5'-leader elements of precursor-tRNAs.
Source: Rfam by way of RNAcentral